AUUUCACCACUGACUUACUAAACCGCCUACGAACCCUUUAAACCCAAUAAUUCCGGAUAACGCUCGGAUCCUCCGUAUUACCGCGGCUGCUGGCACGGAGUUAGCCGAUCCUUAUUCUUACGGUACCGUCAAAUAAUUACUCGUAAUUACAUUUCUUCCCGUACAAAAGCAGUUUACAAUCCAUAGGACCGUCAUCCUGCACGCGGCAUGGCUGGUUCAGAGUUGCCUCCAUUGACCAAUAUUCCUCACUGCUGCCUCCCGUACGAGUCUGGUCCGUGUCUCAUUACCAGUGUGGGGGAUCUCCCUCUCAUGACCCCUAAUCAUCGUCGCCUUGGUAUGCCGAUACCACACCAACUAGCUAAUGAUACGC
RNAcentral lists this ribosomal RNA (370 nucleotides) under Myroides odoratus. RNAcentral's name for it is "partial 16S rRNA". The record is from RNAcentral. Lineage: Bacteria; Pseudomonadati; Bacteroidota; Flavobacteriia; Flavobacteriales; Flavobacteriaceae.